Molecule: ribosomal RNA, 223 nt
Filed under: Escherichia coli
Lineage: Bacteria; Pseudomonadati; Pseudomonadota; Gammaproteobacteria; Enterobacterales; Enterobacteriaceae
Description: partial 23S ribosomal RNA
Rfam family: Bacterial large subunit ribosomal RNA
Source: RNAcentral
UGAACAUUGAGCCUUGAUGUGUAGGAUAGGUGGGAGGCUUUGAAGUGUGGACGCCAGUCUGCAUGGAGCCGACCUUGAAAUACCACCCUUUAAUGUUUGAUGUUCUAACGUUGACCCGUAAUCCGGGUUGCGGACAGUGUCUGGUGGGUAGUUUGACUGGGGCGGUCUCCUCCUAAAGAGUAACGGAGGAGCACGAAGGUUGGCUAAUCCUGGUCGGACAUCA